RNAcentral lists this ribosomal RNA (478 nucleotides) under uncultured bacterium. Its description in RNAcentral is "partial 16S ribosomal RNA". It matches the Rfam family "Bacterial small subunit ribosomal RNA", at positions 28 to 523 of the family's 1533-position model. The record is from RNAcentral.
GACGAACGCUGGCGGCGUGCUUAACACAUGCAAGUCGAACGGUAAGGCCCUUCGGGGUACACGAGUGGCGAACGGGUGAGUAACACGUGGGUGAUCUGCCCUGCACUUCGGGAUAAGCCUGGGAAACUGGGUCUAAUACCGGGUAGGACUCCGGACUGCAUGGUCUGGGGUGGAAAGCUUUUGCGGGGUGGGAUGGGCCCGCGGCCUAUCAGCUUGUUGGUGGGGUGAUGGCCCACCAAGGCGACGACGGGUAGCCGGCCUGAGAGGGUGACCGGCCACACUGGGACUGAGAUACGGCCCAGACUCCUACGGGAGGCAGCAGUGGGGAAUAUUGCACAAUGGGCGCAAGCCUGAUGCAGCGACGCCGCGUGAGGGACGACGGCCUUCGGGUUGUAAACCUCUUUCAGCAUCGACGAAGCGAAAGUGACGGUAGGUGCAGAAGAAGGACCGGCCAACUACGUGCCAGCCGCCGCAGUAA